Molecule: transfer RNA, 62 nt
Filed under: Nesophrosyne sp. 242 GMB-2012
Lineage: Eukaryota; Metazoa; Arthropoda; Insecta; Hemiptera; Cicadellidae
Description: tRNA-Thr
Source: RNAcentral
GUUUUAAUAAUUUAAAUAAAAUAUUAGUCUUGUAAACUAAAAUUAGGAACCCCUUUAAAACU